RNAcentral lists this ribosomal RNA (253 nucleotides) under uncultured prokaryote. Its description in RNAcentral is "partial 16S ribosomal RNA". It matches the Rfam family "Bacterial small subunit ribosomal RNA", at positions 523 to 775 of the family's 1533-position model. The record is from RNAcentral.
AUACAGAGGUCUCAAGCGUUGUUCGGAUUCAUUGGGCGUAAAGGGUGCGUAGGCGGCGCGGUAAGUCGGGUGUGAAAUUUCGAGGCUUAACUUCGAAACUGCAUUCGAUACUGCCGUGCUUGAGGACUGGAGAGGAGACUGGAAUUCACGGUGUAGCAGUGAAAUGCGUAGAUAUCGUGAGGAAGACCAGUUGCGAAGGCGGAUCUCUGGACAGUUCCUGACACUGAGGCACGAAGGCCAGGGGAGCAAACGG